This is a long non-coding RNA of Acinonyx jubatus (cheetah), 206 nucleotides long. RefSeq lists it as uncharacterized. The record is from RefSeq and is a predicted model, not a curated record. Lineage: Eukaryota; Metazoa; Chordata; Mammalia; Carnivora; Felidae. The transcript has 3 exons.
AGCAAUGUUGAGGCCAGAAGACUUGGAAUUCCAGGAAUGUGGACUACAAAUGACAGAAACAUCUCCAGGGGCCAUGUGGACAACUUGGCAGGCCAUAGUAAGCUGGGACAAGUUCAUCUAACACCUCCUUUGAAGACCAGCAGAUGUUUCAUAAAGGGUCUAUACGUGGGAGGUCUAAGUACAGAGCUUGACUGUGAACUUUCAUC